RNAcentral lists this long non-coding RNA (386 nucleotides) under Prunus persica (peach). Its description in RNAcentral is "long non-coding RNA (PPER_LNC003017)". The record is from RNAcentral. Lineage: Eukaryota; Viridiplantae; Streptophyta; Magnoliopsida; Rosales; Rosaceae.
UUGUGUCCGGCUUUAGCAAGGUGUCGGACACUCACAGGGUUCGGCUCGGAUUCCAAAGUGGAAUUUGGGUCGGGUCUUGUCACAAACUGCCACCUCCAGCUGGCGAAUUAUUUGGUGCUUCAAUCGUAAGGGUUCGAAACCAAUUGGCAGCACUUUGUGGGCAAGGCAAGCCGAACUCUGAGCGAGGAUUAAUCCUACCCUUCGAGCGUAGAGACACCUCGUGGUAUUUACCAAAGAAACAAAAAUAAAACAAACUAGGCUGAGCUGGGCCAUGAGCUGACCUUGUUGGACUGAGCCGUGAGGGAAUCAGAGGUUUCAAAACCUAAGUCCAAUUCGUACCCAACCUUAAACAAACUAGGCUGAACGAGCCUAACCAUCAAAUCAAG